GGGUGCGAUCAUACCAGCACUAAUGCACCGGAUCCCAUCAGAACUCCGAAGUUAAACGUGCUCGGGUGAGAGUAGUACUAAGAUGGGUGACCUUUUGGGAAGUCCUCUUGUUGCGUGUU
This is a non-coding RNA of Jatropha curcas, 119 nucleotides long. Lineage: Eukaryota; Viridiplantae; Streptophyta; Magnoliopsida; Malpighiales; Euphorbiaceae. The record is from Rfam.